CCUACGGGAGGCAGCAGUGAGGAAUAUUGGUCAAUGGCCGGAAGGCUGAACCAGCCAUGCCGCGUGAAGGUCAGUGCCCUAUGGGCGUUAAACUUCUUUUGUGCGGGAGCAAUAAUGGUCACGUGUGGCCAGACGAGAGUACCGUACGAAUAAGCAUCGGCUAACUCCGUGCCAGCAGCCGCGGUAAUACGGGGGAAGCAAGCGUUAUCCGGAUUUAUUGGGUUUAAAGGGUGCGUAGGCUGUGAGGUAAGUCAGCGGUGAAAUGCCCCCGCUCAACGGGGUGAAGUGCCAUUGAUACUGCCUGGCUGGAAUGCGGAUGCCGUGGGAGGAAUGUGUGGUGUAGCGGUGAAAUGCAUAGAUAUCACACAGAACACCGAUUGCGAAGGCAUCUCACGAAUCCGCGAUUGACGCUGAUGCACGAAAGUGUGGGUAUCAAACAGGAUUAGAUACCCCUGUAGUC
This 460-nucleotide ribosomal RNA is filed under the name uncultured bacterium. Its description in RNAcentral is "partial 16S ribosomal RNA". It matches the Rfam family "Bacterial small subunit ribosomal RNA", at positions 338 to 795 of the family's 1533-position model. The record is from RNAcentral.